GAUGAACGCUGGCGGCGUGCCUAAUACAUGCAAGUCGAGCGAACGGACGAGAAGCUUGCUUCUCUGAUGUUAGCGGCGGACGGGUGAGUAACACGUGGAUAACCUACCUAUAAGACUGGGAUAACUUCGGGAAACCGGAGCUAAUACCGGAUAAUAUUUUGAACCGCAUGGUUCAAAAGUGAAAGACGGUCUUGCUGUCACUUAUAGAUGGAUCCGCGCUGCAUUAGCUAGUUGGUAAGGUAACGGCUUACCAAGGCAACGAUGCAUAGCCGACCUGAGAGGGUGAUCGGCCACACUGGAACUGAGACACGGUCCAGACCCCUACGGGAGGCAGCAGUAGGGAAUCUUCCGCAAUGGGCGAAAGCCUGACGGAGCAACGCCACGUGAGUGAUGAAGGUCUGCGGAUCGUAAAACUCUGUUAUUAGGGAAGAACAUAUGUGUAAGUAACUGUGCACAUCUGGACGGUACCUAAUCAGAAAGCCACGGCUAACUACGU
Molecule: ribosomal RNA, 496 nt
Filed under: uncultured bacterium
Lineage: Bacteria
Description: partial 16S ribosomal RNA
Rfam family: Bacterial small subunit ribosomal RNA
Source: RNAcentral